GCGCGCGUAGCUCAAUUGGAUAGAGCAUCGGUCUUCGAAACCGAAGGUUGGGGGUUCGAAACCCUUCGCGCGCG
RNAcentral lists this transfer RNA (74 nucleotides) under Planctomycetota bacterium. RNAcentral's name for it is "Planctomycetes bacterium tRNA-Arg". It matches the Rfam family "tRNA". From Rfam's summary of the family: Transfer RNA (tRNA) molecules are approximately 80 nucleotides in length. Their secondary structure includes four short double-helical elements and three loops (D, anti-codon, and T loops). Lineage: Bacteria; Pseudomonadati; Planctomycetota. The record is from RNAcentral.